RNAcentral lists this ribosomal RNA (868 nucleotides) under Bacillus siamensis. RNAcentral describes it as "bacterial SSU rRNA". It matches the Rfam family "Bacterial small subunit ribosomal RNA", at positions 69 to 919 of the family's 1533-position model. The record is from RNAcentral. Lineage: Bacteria; Bacillati; Bacillota; Bacilli; Caryophanales; Bacillaceae.
ACAGAUGGGAGCUUGCUCCCUGAUGUUAGCGGCGGACGGGUGAGUAACACGUGGGUAACCUGCCUGUAAGACUGGGAUAACUCCGGGAAACCGGGGCUAAUACCGGAUGGUUGUCUGAACCGCAUGGUUCAGACAUAAAAGGUGGCUUCGGCUACCACUUACAGAUGGACCCGCGGCGCAUUAGCUAGUUGGUGAGGUAACGGCUCACCAAGGCGACGAUGCGUAGCCGACCUGAGAGGGUGAUCGGCCACACUGGGACUGAGACACGGCCCAGACUCCUACGGGAGGCAGCAGUAGGGAAUCUUCCGCAAUGGACGAAAGUCUGACGGAGCAACGCCGCGUGAGUGAUGAAGGUUUUCGGAUCGUAAAGCUCUGUUGUUAGGGAAGAACAAGUGCCGUUCAAAUAGGGCGGCACCUUGACGGUACCUAACCAGAAAGCCACGGCUAACUACGUGCCAGCAGCCGCGGUAAUACGUAGGUGGCAAGCGUUGUCCGGAAUUAUUGGGCGUAAAGGGCUCGCAGGCGGUUUCUUAAGUCUGAUGUGAAAGCCCCCGGCUCAACCGGGGAGGGUCAUUGGAAACUGGGGAACUUGAGUGCAGAAGAGGAGAGUGGAAUUCCACGUGUAGCGGUGAAAUGCGUAGAGAUGUGGAGGAACACCAGUGGCGAAGGCGACUCUCUGGUCUGUAACUGACGCUGAGGAGCGAAAGCGUGGGGAGCGAACAGGAUUAGAUACCCUGGUAGUCCACGCCGUAAACGAUGAGUGCUAAGUGUUAGGGGGUUUCCGCCCCUUAGUGCUGCAGCUAACGCAUUAAGCACUCCGCCUGGGGAGUACGGUCGCAAGACUGAAACUCAAAGGAAUUGACGGGGG